Molecule: ribosomal RNA, 483 nt
Filed under: uncultured bacterium
Lineage: Bacteria
Description: partial 16S ribosomal RNA
Rfam family: Bacterial small subunit ribosomal RNA
Source: RNAcentral
AUUGAACGCUGGCGGCAGGCCUAACACAUGCAAGUCGAGCGGAUGAAGGGAGCUUGCUCCUGGAUUCAGCGGCGGACGGGUGAGUAAUGCCUAGGAAUCUGCCUGGUAGUGGGGGAUAACGUCCGGAAACGGGCGCUAAUACCGCAUACGUCCUGAGGGAGAAAGUGGGGGAUCUUCGGACCUCACGCUAUCAGAUGAGCCUAGGUCGGAUUAGCUAGUUGGUGGGGUAAAGGCCUACCAAGGCGACGAUCCGUAACUGGUCUGAGAGGAUGAUCAGUCACACUGGAACUGAGACACGGUCCAGACUCCUACGGGAGGCAGCAGUGGGGAAUAUUGGACAAUGGGCGAAAGCCUGAUCCAGCCAUGCCGCGUGUGUGAAGAAGGUCUUCGGAUUGUAAAGCACUUUAAGUUGGGAGGAAGGGCAGUAAGAUAAUACCUUGCUGUUUUGACGUUACCAACAGAAUAAGCACCGGCUAACUUCGU